Molecule: small nucleolar RNA, 106 nt
Filed under: Nelumbo nucifera (sacred lotus)
Lineage: Eukaryota; Viridiplantae; Streptophyta; Magnoliopsida; Proteales; Nelumbonaceae
Description: Small nucleolar RNA snoR97
Rfam family: Small nucleolar RNA snoR97
Source: Rfam by way of RNAcentral
UCUAGAUGGUGGAUAUGGAGGCUGAUAAACUCAUAAAACAUGUGUUGUCAUCAGCUUCAUCUCUUGUAUCUUCACGAGAUUGGAGUUAAAUAACAGCACAAUAUUU